RNAcentral lists this ribosomal RNA (545 nucleotides) under Lienardia rubida. RNAcentral describes it as "partial 16S ribosomal RNA". It matches the Rfam family "Bacterial large subunit ribosomal RNA", at positions 1803 to 2619 of the family's 2925-position model. Lineage: Eukaryota; Metazoa; Mollusca; Gastropoda; Neogastropoda; Clathurellidae. The record is from RNAcentral.
UUUACCAAAAACAUGGCUUCAUGGUUGUAUAGUAUAUGAAGUCGAGCCUGCCCAGUGAAGUGUUUUAACGGCCGCGGUACUCUGACCGUGCAAAGGUAGCAUAAUCAUUUGCCUUAUAAUUGAAGGCUGGAAUGAAUGGUUUGACAAGAAUAUCACUGUCUCUAAGGGAUUUAUUAGAAUUUUAUUUUUAGGUGAAAAAGCCUUAAUGGUAUUGAUAGACAAGAAGACCCUAUCGAGCUUAAAAUAAAUGAGUGAGGUAUAAUUACGUUAUUUUAGAUAAUUGUUUACUAAAAAUUUUAGUUGGGGCAACUAAGGAGUAAAUAAAGCCUCCUUUGACUGGGAAACUUAUAGGUUUUGAUCCAGGAUUAAGCCUGAUUGAAAGAAAUAGUUACCGUAGGGAUAACAGCAUUAUUUUUUUUGAGAGCUCUUAUCGAAAAAAAAGUUUGUGACCUCGAUGUUGGACCAGAAUGUCCUGAAGAUGCAGAAGUCUUUAAGGGUUGGUCUGUUCGACCAUUAAUAUUCUACGUGAUCUGAGUUCAGACCGG